GGUUGAUCCUGCCGGACCUGACUGCUAUCGGAUUGAUACUAAGCCAUGCGAGUCAUUGUAGCAAUACAAGGCAUACGGCUCAGUAACGCGUAGUCAACCUACCCUAUGGACGGGAAUAACCUCGGGAAACUGAGUAUAAUGCCCGAUAGAACACUAUACCUGGAAUGGUUUGUGUUCCAAAUGAUUUAUCGCCGUAGGAUGGGACUGCGGCCUAUCAGUUUGUUGGUGAGGUAAUGGCCCACCAAGACUAUUACAGGUACGGGCUCUGAGAGGAGUGGCCCGGAGAUGGGUACUGAGACACGGACCCAGGCCCUAUGGGGCGCAGCAGGCGAGAAAACUUUGCAAUGUGCGAAAGCACGACAAGGUUAAUCCGAGUGGUUUCUGCUAAAGGAACCUUUUGACAGUCCUAGAAACACUGUUGAAUAAGGGGUGGGCAAGUUCUGGUGUCAGCCGCCGCGGUAAAACCAGCACCUCAAGUGGUCAGGAUGAUUAUUGGGCCUAAAGCAUCCGUAGCCGGCUCUGUAAGUUUUCGGUUAAAUCUGUACGCUUAACGUACAGGCUGCUGGGAAUACUGCAGAGCUAGGGAGUGGGAGAGGUAGACGGUACUCGGGAGGAAGUGGUAAAAUGCUUUGAUCUCUCGAUGACCACCUGUGGCGAAGGCGGUCUACCAGAACACGUCCGACGGUGAGGGAUGAAAGCUGGGGGAGCAAACCGGAUUAGAUACCCGGGUAGUCCCAGCUGUAAACUAUGCAAACUCAGUGAUGCACUGGCUUAUGGCCAGUGCAGUGUUG
Molecule: ribosomal RNA, 791 nt
Filed under: uncultured sediment archaeon
Lineage: Archaea
Description: bacterial SSU rRNA
Rfam family: Archaeal small subunit ribosomal RNA
Source: RNAcentral